RNAcentral lists this unclassified non-coding RNA (151 nucleotides) under uncultured fungus. Its description in RNAcentral is "sequence contains ITS1". Lineage: Eukaryota; Fungi. The record is from RNAcentral.
GAAAUGCGAUACUUGGUGUGAAUUGCAGAAUCCCGUGAACCAUCGAGUCGCGCAGGACGUAGCCUUUACGGCCUUGUAGGACCCUGAGUGUCCCCUUUAGGAGACAAACCGUUGCGACCCCAGGUCAGGCGGGGCUACCCGCUGAGUUUAA